Molecule: ribosomal RNA, 119 nt
Filed under: Cucumis sativus (cucumber)
Lineage: Eukaryota; Viridiplantae; Streptophyta; Magnoliopsida; Cucurbitales; Cucurbitaceae
Source: RNAcentral
GGGUGUGAUCAUACCAUCACUAAUGCACCGGAUCCCAUCAGAACUUCGCAGUUAAGCAUGCUUGGGCGAAAGUAGGACUAAGUUGGGUGACCACUUGAGAAGUCCUCGUGUUGCACUCC